GAUGAACGCUGGCGGCGUGCCUAAUACAUGCAAGUCGAGCGAACGGACGAGAAGCUUGCUUCUCUGAUGUUAGCGGCGGACGGGUGAGUAACACGUGGAUAACCUACCUAUAAGACUGGGAUAACUUCGGGAAACCGGAGCUAAUACCGGAUAAUAUUUUGAACCGCAUGGUUCAAAAGUGAAAGACGGUCUUGCUGUCACUUAUAGAUGGAUCCGCGCUGCAUUAGCUAGUUGGUAAGGUAACGGCUUACCAAGGCAACGAUGCAUAGCCGACCUGAGAGGGUGAUCGGCCACACUGGAACUGAGACACGGUCCAGACUCCUACGGGAGGCAGCAGUAGGGAAUCUUCCGCAAUGGGCGAAAGCCUGACGGAGCAACGCCGCGUGAGUGAUGAAGGUCUUCGGAUCGUAAAACUCUGUUAUUAGGGAAGAACAUAUGUGUAAGUAACUGUGCACAUCUUGACGGUACCUAAUCAGAAAGCCACGGCUAACUACGUGCCAGCAGCCGCGGUAAUACGUAGGUGGCAAGCGUUAUCCGGAAUUAUUGGGCGUAAAGCGCGCGCAGGCGGUUUUUUAAGUCUGAUGUGAAAGCCCACGGCUCAACCGUGGAGGGUCAUUGGAAACUGGAAAACUUGAGUGCAGAAGAGGAAAGUGGAAUUCCAUGUGUAGCGGUGAAAUGCGCAGAGAUAUGGAGGAACACCAGUGGCGAAGGCGACUUUCUGGUCUGUAACUGACGCUGAUGUGCGAAAGCGUGGGGAUCAAACAGGAUUAGAUACCCUGGUAGUCCACGCCGUAAACGAUGAGUGCUAAGUGUUAGGGGGUUUCCGCCCCUUAGUGCUGCAGCUAACGCAUUAAGCACUCCGCCUGGGGAGUACGACCGCAAGGUUGAAACUCAAAGGAAUUGACGGGGACCCGCACAAGCGGUGGAGCAUGUGGUUUAAUUCGAAGCAACGCGAAGAACCUUACCAAAUCUUGACAUCCUUUGACAACUCUAGAGAUAGAGCUUUCCCCUUCGGGGGACAAAGUGACAGGUGGUGCAUGGUUGUCGUCAGCUCGUGUCGUGAGAUGUUGGGUUAAGUCCCGCAACGAGCGCAACCCUUAAGCUUAGUUGCCAUCAUUAAGUUGGGCACUCUAAGUUGACUGCCGGUGACAAACCGGAGGAAGGUGGGGAUGACGUCAAAUCAUCAUGCCCCUUAUGAUUUGGGCUACACACGUGCUACAAUGGACAAUACAAAGGGCAGCGAAACCGCGAGGUCAAGCAAAUCCCAUAAAGUCGUUCUCAGUUCGGAUUGUAGUCUGCAACUCGACUACAUGAAGCUGGAAUCGCUAGUAAUCGUAGAUCAGCAUGCUACGGUGAAUACGUUCCCGGGUCU
RNAcentral lists this ribosomal RNA (1372 nucleotides) under uncultured bacterium. RNAcentral describes it as "bacterial SSU rRNA". It matches the Rfam family "Bacterial small subunit ribosomal RNA", at positions 28 to 1381 of the family's 1533-position model. The record is from RNAcentral.